This 254-nucleotide ribosomal RNA is filed under the name uncultured bacterium. RNAcentral describes it as "partial small subunit ribosomal RNA". It matches the Rfam family "Bacterial small subunit ribosomal RNA", at positions 26 to 284 of the family's 1533-position model. The record is from RNAcentral.
AGGACGAACGCUGGCGGCGUGCUUAACACAUGCAAGUCGAGCGGAAAGGCCCUUCGGGGUACUCGAGCGGCGAACGGGUGAGUAACACGUGAGGAACCUGCCCUGGACUUUGGGAUAACCCUCGGAAACGGGGGCUAAUACCGAAUAUGACGACCGGUCGCAUGAUCUGGUUGUGGAAAGUUUUUUCGGUCUGGGAUGGUCUCGCGGCCUAUCAGCUUGUUGGUGGGUAAUGGCCUACCAAGGCGACGACGGGU